GUAGAGCACUGUUUGGGUGAGGGGUCCAUCCCGGAUUACCAAUCUCAGAUAAACUCCGAAUGCCAACGAGAUAUAAUCGGCAGUCAGACUGCGAGUGCUAAGAUCCGUAGUCGAAAGGGAAACAGCCCAGACCACCAGCUAAGGUCCCAAAAUAUAUGUUAAGUGGAAAAGGAUGUGGGGUUGCACAGACAACUAGGAUGUUAGCUUAGAAGCAGCUAUUCAUUCAAAGAGUGCGUAAUAGCUCACUAGUCGAGUGACCCUGCGCCGAAAAUGUACCGGGGCUAAAACAUAUUACCGAAGCUGUGGAUACCUUUAUAGGUAUGGUAGGAGAGCGUUCUAUGUGCGAAGAAGGUGUACCGUGAGGAGUGCUGGAGCGCAUAGAAGUGAGAAUGCCGGUAUGAGUAGCGAAAGACAGGUGAGAAUCCUGUCCACCGUAAGACUAAGGUUUCCAGGGGAAGGCUCGUCCGCCCUGGGUUAGUCGGGACCUAAGGAGAGACCGAAAGGUGUAUCCGAUGGACAACAGGUUGAUAUUCCUGUACUAGAGUAUAUAGUGAUGGAGGGACGCAGUAGGCUAACUAAACCAGACGAUUGGAAGUGUCUGGCCAAGCAGUGAGGUGUGAUAUGAGUCAAAUGCUUAUAUCUAUAACAUUGAGCUGUGAUGGGGAGCGAAGUUUAGUAGCGAAGUUAGUGAUGUCACACUGCCGAGAAAAGCUUCUAGCGUUAAUUAUACUCUACCCGUACCGCAAACCGACACAGGUAGUCGAGGCGAGUAGCCUCAGGUGAGCGAGAGAACUCUCGUUAAGGAACUCGGCAAAAUGGCCCCGUAACUUCGGGAGAAGGGGCGCUGACUUAUGGUCAGCCGCAGUGAAUAGGCCCAAGCAACUGUUUAUCAAAAACACAGCUCUCUGCUAAAUCGUAAGAUGAUGUAUAGGGGGUGACGCCUGCCCGGUGCUGGAAGGUUAAGAGGAGUGCUUAGCAAUAGCGAAGGUAUGAAUUGAAGCCCCAGUAAACGGCGGCCGUAACUAUAACGGUCCUAAGGUAGCGAAAUUCCUUGUCGGGUAAGUUCC
RNAcentral lists this ribosomal RNA (1067 nucleotides) under human gut metagenome. RNAcentral's name for it is "bacterial LSU rRNA". It matches the Rfam family "Bacterial large subunit ribosomal RNA", at positions 902 to 1984 of the family's 2925-position model. The record is from RNAcentral.